AUCCAGCUGACGAUUCCCAAAUAGGACGAAACGUGCGUCCUGGAU
Non-coding RNA from Schistosoma mansoni, 45 nucleotides. Lineage: Eukaryota; Metazoa; Platyhelminthes; Trematoda; Strigeidida; Schistosomatidae. The record is from Rfam.